GGAAGUGAGGGCGAUCUGGCUGCGACAUUUGUCACCCCACUGAUCGCCAGGGUUGACUCGGCUGAUCUGGCUGGCUAGGCGGGUGUCCCCUUCCUCCCUCACUGCUCCACGUGUGUCCCUUCCGAAGCUGUGCACUUGGUCAAAGAGGAUGACCAUCCCCGAUAGAGGAGGACUGGUCUUCAGUCAAGGGUAUACAGGUAGCUGCGCUCCCCUGCUAGAACCUCCAAACAUGCACUAAAGGUCCAUUUAAAGGAAUAACAAUGGCAUCGAUUCUCCCUUCUAUUUCAUCUGUCCUUUUCCAGCAAGAAGAAAAGAGAC
This is an unclassified non-coding RNA of Chlorocebus sabaeus (green monkey), 318 nucleotides long. Its record names the gene 7SK. It matches the Rfam family "7SK RNA". Rfam says of the family: 7SK was discovered as an abundant small nuclear RNA in the mid-70s but a possible function has only recently been suggested. Two independent studies have found that 7SK RNA binds the CDK9/cyclin T complex (known as elongation factor P-TEFb). The record is from Ensembl. NCBI's taxonomy places the organism in Eukaryota, Metazoa, Chordata, Mammalia, Primates, Cercopithecidae.